GCGACNACGGGUANCCGGCCUGAGAGGGUGACCGGCCACACUGGGACUGAGACACGGCCCAGACUCCUACGGGAGGCAGCAGUGGGGAAUAUUGCACAAUGGGCGAAAGCCUGAUGCAGCGACGCCGCGUGAGGGAUGACGGCCUUCGGGUUGUAAACCUCUUUCAGUAGGGAAGAAGCGAAAGUGACGGUACCUGCAGAANAAGCGCCGGCUAACUACGUGCCAGCAGCCGCGGUAAUACACAC
This 245-nucleotide ribosomal RNA is filed under the name uncultured bacterium. RNAcentral describes it as "partial 16S ribosomal RNA". It matches the Rfam family "Bacterial small subunit ribosomal RNA", at positions 273 to 530 of the family's 1533-position model. The record is from RNAcentral.